RNAcentral lists this long non-coding RNA (294 nucleotides) under Vigna radiata. RNAcentral describes it as "long non-coding RNA (VRAD_LNC012444)". The record is from RNAcentral. Lineage: Eukaryota; Viridiplantae; Streptophyta; Magnoliopsida; Fabales; Fabaceae.
UCAAGUUUGGGGUUGCAUAAGGGAAAUUGAAAGGCAAUUUAAAAAGCAUUGAGCUCAAAUGUUGUGAAAGAAAAAUACAUGAGAAAAAGAAAAGAAAAGAAGAAAAGCAUGAAGAUGGGCUCAAUGCAAAAAGAAAAGGGAAAAAGUUGGGAAUAAGUGAGAUUGGUGAGGAAGAAAGUUGUGCUUAAAUGUUGAAUACUAUGAUAGCUCUCUUAACUCAAGGACUUUGCUUUCCGAAAAACCAAUUCUACUUGUUAGCCCAGCCUCAUUACAAGCCUUGCAAAAGUCCUUUUG